ACGGGGAAAGGGGAAAGGAUCUUGCCGGGAGAGCCCGGGACCAGCAUGGCGCUGACCCUUGGACACCGCGGGCCCAGCCGAGGCCUGAAAGCCCAACGCUUCGCUGGGGCGAGGGGCUGGACGCUCGGGCGUGCAGGGAGCUGGUCGCGGCCGCCUUGCGUAUGGAAUCCCGUCUUCCUCCGCUCCCGGAAGAGUGCGAAGCCUGCGCCUGCAGCCAACACAGGUCUUUAUUCUAAAAUUAUGAAGGUCCCCCCAAAGCGGCUGGGGACGCCGCGGAGCCGCCUCCCGACCCGAAUCAUCUGAAAAUCCCCCGAGCUGGGCUCGGGGUUAAGUACUGGUUCCGAACUCCCGGCGCCAGCCUUGGCUGGUUGCGGUCUCGGGCUGCGGCCUCAUUAGUACGCGCCUACGAGGGAAAAAUAAGACUUACCGGCAGGUUAAUAAGCAGCCGGGCCGGGCGCAGGGUGACAGGGGCCUCCGUCGCCCUUUCCUGUACCCCGCCCUCACACCCCCCCCCCCCCCCCCACCUUUUAAGGAACUUUUUGCUUUCACCGAGCAUCGCCUUCUCUUCUGUUCCCGGUUGAAAGCUCCGUCACACGGUUGGUUAUGCCUGGGUUAAUGUUUUAUAAGGGACUGGCUGCCCUCGUCUACUUGCCGAGCUUUCCUGACCUAAUAUCAGGGCUGAGCUCUCCCGUCAGCCUGCCCAGGACACCUUUGAAGCCCUGCUCAUGGGUUUCACCUCCCGAAAAGCCCGGAAUGGGCCAGAGACCCCUCUCCCUGGACCCCCUCACCUUCUGCCUGCAGUGACGCGCUCCCGCACCCCAUUUCAGUUGGCGAGGGGGGCACAAUUUAGGCCCGUUCUUGGCGAAUGAAUGAUGAGCCCCAGUCUAGCGUGAGCUCAAAGCAUCAUCCAGCUGUGUUAUUGCAAGCAGCAAAAAUAAAUUGAUCGAGCUUUUCCUUCGGAAUGAAUUUCAUACCCUUGACAAAAUGUAGAUUACAGACCUGGCAUCAUCGCCUCCUUCACUCAGACAGCAAGAGGAGGAGGAGGAGGGCUUGUUCUACUGUUUUGUUUUUUGUUUUUCCUUUAAUAAAUAAACACUAUACGUGAAUAGAAA
Molecule: long non-coding RNA, 1112 nt
Organism: Balaenoptera ricei (Rice's whale)
Lineage: Eukaryota; Metazoa; Chordata; Mammalia; Artiodactyla; Balaenopteridae
Exons: 2
Source: RefSeq, a predicted model, not a curated record